RNAcentral lists this ribosomal RNA (253 nucleotides) under uncultured bacterium. RNAcentral describes it as "partial 16S ribosomal RNA". It matches the Rfam family "Bacterial small subunit ribosomal RNA", at positions 524 to 776 of the family's 1533-position model. The record is from RNAcentral.
UGCGUAGGGUGCAAGCGUUAAUCGGAAUUACUGGGCGUAAAGCGUGCGCAGGCGGUUUUGCAAGACAGAUGUGAAAUCCCCGGGCUCAACCUGGGAACUGCAUUUGUGACUGCAAGGCUAGAAUCUGGCAGAGGGGGGUAGAAUUCCACGUGUAGCAGUGAAAUGCGUAGAUAUGUGGAGGAAUACCGAUGGCGAAGGCAGCCCCCUGGGCUAAGAUUGACGCUCAUGCACGAAAGCGUGGGGAGCAAACAGG